Armigeres subalbatus is the source of this 562-nucleotide long non-coding RNA. RefSeq lists it as uncharacterized. Lineage: Eukaryota; Metazoa; Arthropoda; Insecta; Diptera; Culicidae. The record is from RefSeq and is a predicted model, not a curated record. The transcript has 3 exons.
UGUUUGCACCAAACGACGCGGUGGUGGUCAAGCAUUUUUUUAUUAUUUAACUGGUAAAUUGCUUAUCAUAAUUGCUGUUAGUAUCCUGACAUGGGCCUUACUAAGGUGCUCAUCGAUUAAUUCUCAUAGGAGAGUGAAAACCAGAUCUGCAGAUAUAAUGAACAGAAGCAUGCGUGAUGUUACCGGUUUUCUUUUGUGGCCCACUUAUCAUCGCAUCGGUAGGAAUCAAAACAUGUAUAUUCGCAGAAUCGAAAGCACACCGCCCAUAUCACGAAGGCAAAGCAGUUGAUUUAACACCGGAUAGAAGAACAUAUGUUUUGUAAAGUGCUGAAGCAGUUUAACCGCCAAAGAUCAUCCAGGAAUGUUAAAUCCACAUAAUGGAAGGAAAAUGGAGACUCCGUCUGGUGCAGGCAAGAAGGAUUCGCAUUGAAGGUUUGCAUGAAAGGAUUCGAAGAGAACAAAUGUAUCAGAAAAUUAGAUAAAAAAUAAUGAUAAAGACACAAAUUAUUGAGUAAAAGUUAGAAAUUAGGAAUUGAGUACACCUGAUUCUGUUUUUACACGG